AUGAAAUCAGCAGCUCCUCCAUUCAGGAUUUCCACCCGUUUGUUACAGAGCUGGAAACAGGGGAGUUCCCAUCCUCUUCGCGCUGCGAUUGCCGCCGCUCCUCUUUAUUCUACUCUCUGCGGAGGCCCGCGCCCGUCCCGGGAGGCGGCCGUGCCAGGAAGGCGGCCCGACCAGUGCCCCGCGCCUGGUCCGCGUCCUGGCCCACCUUCGCCCUUCGUCGUCGUCUCCAAGACGAAAGCCCCGAAUGGGGACGCGGAGUGUUUGUACCCUCUGCGCCGCAGCCGGUCCCGGCACUUGCAAAAUGGUCCUCCCUUGAAAUUCAGGAUUCUUACUUUGCUCAUUGCCUGGCCCCAGUCCCCUGCUAAGAACUGUCAGGUUUCUGGACGGUGUCCUCUCUCUGGUCACCAUGAUCUCUGAUUCCAAGGACCUUGUCAGCACCUGCAGAUGUCACAAGGAAGCCAAUUCCUCAACACAAGUAAGAGGAACAAUUGAGAAUAUCAAAGCAAGGAGCAGGAAAGACUAUUGCACCAUAUUACUGCUGAUGCUUAUUUCUGAAUUUUCUUCCACGUGGUCUUUGCCUUCAUCCUGAUUCCUGGUGCUUGGGACAAAAGUGAUCAUGGAGUUCGUUUCUUGGCUACACAUGGUGUUUCAUUGGUCCCUUCUCUUCCAUCAGAGGACACAUUUAUCUUCCACUCAUUAAUUCAGCUGGUGUGAAUUUGCAAGCAUGUGUUCACUGGAAGAAAUUUAAAUGAUUGUAACCUUAAACUCAAGAGAACAAAAACCCUAGUCAUUUAAAGAAUUUUAACAGAGUCUGCUAAGUGUCUGUUAUAUUAUCCAAAGACCAGUCAUAUCUUUAUCCACUCUAAGUCUAACACAUGUCAAACAGAUUUUGACAAUUUCUAUUUCCAUUAACAACAGAAGAUUGCCUGUUAUGUGCUGUAACAUCUAGAACAGUGCCUGACACAUAAAAGGCCCUUAACAAGUACUUGCUGAAUGAAUAAAUUAGGUAUACAAAAAGUAUUUGAAGAGCAGAUUUCUUCUCUUUUCAAUAUUUUCUUUUCUUUUUCCUGCAUUCUCCACAAUAUGAACCACAGAUUUCCAUACAAAGCUGGUGAGUAUCAAAUGGAUGGGUUGAUAAAUAAGAGACCCAGUAACACUGGUUAUAAAAUACCCAUAUGAUACGAUCUCAAAUGUGUCUAAAGACACAUAUGGAAGCAUAAAAAACACGGUAGCAGGGAAUGCAGCAGGACAGGAACGGUAGUUAUCCCUGUGUUGCGUAAUUUUCUUAUUUUAAUUUUUCUGAAAUUAAUAUGGAUAACUUUAAUUUAUAUUACCAAAAUCACUAUAGUCAUGAUAAGAAGAAUUUAAAUAAUACCAAAGUUAUUUAAACAUAAAUUUUGUUUUCAUCCCAAAUCCUACUCCCCAAAGCUAAAUAUUAUUAACUCUUUGAUAUGGACACACACAAAUAAUAUAGAAAAUAGCACAAUCAUACUGUAUAAACCAUAUUGUAUCCAGCUUUUUCAUUCAAUGAUAUGGUGUGCAUGUGUAUAAAUGUACAUAUGUAUAUAUGUAUGUAUGUAUUUUUGUAUGUUGUGUAUGAUAUAUACCAGGUAAAUAAAUAUUCUUUACCCUAUUUUAACAGCUACUAAUUAUUUCAUUGAAAUGGAUGCACCCUCCUUUAUUUUUGGUAAAUGAUUAGGCUAUUUUCAACUUUUUGUCUGUAAUAAACACACCAUUUCACGCUUGUUCAAUGAUUUUCCUAUAUUAAAUUUAUAUGAACAUAUUUAUAAUAUGAACAGUCUAGACAUAGUUAAAGAUUUUGAUGUAUUUUGUCAGAUAGCUUUCCAGAAACGACAUAAUGAUGUGCAUUCCAAUUAUGUGUAAGAUUUUUGCUUCCCUAAAACAUUUACUAAAAUCAAACAUAAAAUAUUUUAA
Molecule: long non-coding RNA, 1935 nt
Organism: Mustela putorius furo (domestic ferret)
Lineage: Eukaryota; Metazoa; Chordata; Mammalia; Carnivora; Mustelidae
Source: Ensembl